UGCGUAGGCGGCGGGGUAAGUUGGAUGUGAAAUCUUGGGGCUUAACCUCAAAAUUGCAUUCAAUACUGCUUCGCUCGAGAGCUGUAGAGGAGACUGGAAUUUACGGUGUAGCAGUGAAAUGCGUAGAUAUCGUAAGGAACGCCAGUGGCGAAAGCGAGUCUCUGGGCAGCAUCUGACGCUGAGGCACGAAGGCCAGGGGAGCAAACG
RNAcentral lists this ribosomal RNA (207 nucleotides) under uncultured bacterium. Its description in RNAcentral is "partial 16S ribosomal RNA". It matches the Rfam family "Bacterial small subunit ribosomal RNA", at positions 568 to 774 of the family's 1533-position model. The record is from RNAcentral.